Molecule: long non-coding RNA, 727 nt
Organism: Myotis myotis
Lineage: Eukaryota; Metazoa; Chordata; Mammalia; Chiroptera; Vespertilionidae
Exons: 3
Source: RefSeq, a predicted model, not a curated record
UGUGCUUGUGGGAGCUUGCGAAGCUAUAUAUUUGAAAGUUUCAGAUUAUCGACAGGCGAGGAAACACUGAUAUAACUUAAUGCCGCCAUGACCAUCACCCGCAGGCACUUUUCUAUACAGAAGACGAUAGCAGGGCACAGGCAGGACACAUUCGUGAUAGACUUCGUGAUGAAGGCUGUUUCCUGGUCCUGCGUUCCUCCCCCACUCCACUCCCACACAUGCACACCUCUGGGAAUCACCCUACCCUGGCGGCGGUGACUAUUAGAAAGACCCCACUGAUGCCCAAGUCGUGAGGAACAAGCAGCAGGAAAAGAAAUGGCAGGAGAAAGGACAGCUAUACACAAUAAGUAUUAUCCUCAUCUUGAGAAAACCAAGGCUCAUGGAGGUCAACUACUUUAACUAGAAGAUGCAGGGCUUGGAUUUGAACCCAGAUAUGUCUGCUUCUGAAACCCAGCCUCCUUCCUCUGUGUCUGUGUUUCUUGAGGCAACCAGAGGAAACUGCCUCUUUGUCUUCAGGUAAGUCUUAGAGUAAGAUAUAGUCAAGUGAUUGCGAGUUUCACAAGCACAGAGGCCAUAGCUGAUUUAUUCACCAGUUUACAUGCAUGGUUACCGGAUGGUAGCCACUCAUACAUAGUUACAAAUGAAUGGCUAAAUAAAAUCAUAACGGAAUGUGAGAUGACCCCUCGUCAGCGAUGCAGUCAAAAAGUGUCAACUGGAAGAGAAUGGA